This is a long non-coding RNA of Neofelis nebulosa (Clouded leopard), 579 nucleotides long. RefSeq lists it as uncharacterized. The transcript is spliced from 3 exons. The record is from RefSeq and is a predicted model, not a curated record. Lineage: Eukaryota; Metazoa; Chordata; Mammalia; Carnivora; Felidae.
ACAUAAAGUCUGUGACCCCAGGUUUAUUAAUACUGAAGAGACAAGUAAAGGGAAACCAGGUCAUCUGUGGCAUUCUGUGAACAAAAUAUUUUGUAGAGAAAGCUAUGUCUUGUAUGAGAAGGUAGAUAGUGAGGAAGGGGGCAAAUUCCUUGUGAUGUUUUUCUUACUCUAUUCCUUUCGGAAACUCACUCAACCUGCAGGCAGUGGCAAGGUUGAUGGCAAAAAGACCUCUAAGGAUUUCAGAAUAAAUACUUAGACACCAACUUAGAAUACGUAGAACUUUCUAGAAGGUCUGAAUGAAUACACCCUCCCCUACUUGAAACUUCAGGACAGCUGGAAGCUUAGGCCUUUUGUCCUCCAUCUGUGUCCAGCUAUUAGAGUUGUGCUGUGAUGUUAUUGAAUUGAAUCAAGAACCCAGGUGUGCUACGUCUUGCAGGCCCAUGUCAUCUUAAAGGUCCAAGAUCUACAGGCUAGUUGGAACAGAUGAGUAGAGGAAGAAGGAAAGAAUAUUUAUUGUUUUGACUCCAAAAUAUGGUGGCAAAACUUUGCAAAAUACAGAAGGUUAAAAGAUUGCCACAA